This 279-nucleotide unclassified non-coding RNA is filed under the name uncultured fungus. RNAcentral's name for it is "partial contains 5.8S ribosomal RNA, internal transcribed spacer 2, and large subunit ribosomal RNA". The record is from RNAcentral. Lineage: Eukaryota; Fungi.
AACGCACAUUGCGCCCGCCAGCAUUCUGGCGGGCAUGCCUGUCCGAGCGUCAUUUCCCCCCUCACGCGCCCCGUUGCGCGCUGGUGUUGGGGCUCCUCCGCCUGGCGGAGGGCCCCGAAAGCGAGUGGCGGGCCCGGCUGGUUGGCUCCGAGCGCAGUACUGAACCCUGGUUCUCCCCUCGCUCUGGGCCCCGCCGGCGCCCCGCCGUGAAAACCGCACAGUGACGUGCAACCCCACAAGGUUGACCUCGGAUCAGGUAGGACUACCCGCUGAACUUAA